AGUGAACGCUGGCGGUAGGCCUAACACAUGCAAGUCGAACGGCAGCACAGUAAGAGCUUGCUCUUACGGGUGGCGAGUGGCGGACGGGUGAGGAAUACAUCGGAAUCUACUUUUUCGUGGGGGAUAACGUAGGGAAACUUACGCUAAUACCGCAUACGACCUACGGGUGAAAGCAUGGGAUCUUCGGACCUUGCGCGAUUGAAUGAGCCGAUGUCGGAUUAGCUAGUUGGCGGGGUAAAGGCCCACCAAGGCGACGAUCCGUAGCUGGUCUGAGAGGAUGAUCAGCCACACUGGAACUGCGACACGGUCCAGACUCCUACGGGAGGCAGCAGUGGGGAAUAUUGGACAAUGGGCGCAAGCCUGCUCCAGCCAUACCGCGUGGGUGAAGAAGGCCUUCGGGUUGUAAAGCCCUUUUGUUGGGAAAGAAAAGCAGCAGGUUAAUACCCCGCUGUUCUGACGGUACCCAAAGAAUAAGCACCGGCUAACUUCGUG
RNAcentral lists this ribosomal RNA (492 nucleotides) under uncultured bacterium. RNAcentral's name for it is "partial 16S ribosomal RNA". It matches the Rfam family "Bacterial small subunit ribosomal RNA", at positions 29 to 507 of the family's 1533-position model. The record is from RNAcentral.